This 278-nucleotide unclassified non-coding RNA is filed under the name Hevea brasiliensis (rubber tree). Lineage: Eukaryota; Viridiplantae; Streptophyta; Magnoliopsida; Malpighiales; Euphorbiaceae. The record is from RNAcentral.
CCAACGGCACGCAGGCCGACUGGAUGUGCCUGCUUGCCAAUACCGGCGAUGGCCCAGUCCAUCGCAACAAAUCGCUGAUCUGCCUGCCGAUGAAGACCAAGGGCGUUGAGGUGCUGCGCAAGCUUGACAAGAUGGGCAUGCACUGCUCGGACANCGCCGAAAUCAAAUUCACCGACGUCCGCAUCCCGAAGCGCAAUCGCAUCGGCGAGGAAGGCNNCAAGGGCUUCACCUAUCAGAUGAUGCAGUUCCAGGAGGAACGGAUGUGGGCGGUUGCCGCG